CCUGCACACACAAACCCAAAGGUCAUUUCCUGCCGGUGUCAUGCCCUUGCCCUGUGUGCGGACAGAAAAGCCGAACCUUGUCGCCUUUAGUAGGCUGUGAACGUGCCGCUGAAAGUGAAUUCAAGGUGCGACACGC
Molecule: small nucleolar RNA, 136 nt
Organism: Puntigrus tetrazona (Sumatra barb)
Lineage: Eukaryota; Metazoa; Chordata; Actinopteri; Cypriniformes; Cyprinidae
Product: small nucleolar RNA SNORA68
Exons: 1
Source: RefSeq, a predicted model, not a curated record